RNAcentral lists this long non-coding RNA (2833 nucleotides) under Ananas comosus (pineapple). RNAcentral's name for it is "long non-coding RNA (ACOM_LNC029872)". Lineage: Eukaryota; Viridiplantae; Streptophyta; Magnoliopsida; Poales; Bromeliaceae. The record is from RNAcentral.
CCCGGUCUUCACCGUCGUCCCCGGCAAAACUUACCGCCUCCGCAUCGCGAGCAUUUCCUCCCUCUCCGCGCUCAGCUUCGAAAUUGAGGUAACCGUUUCAUCUCCUAUCUGUUACGUACCUGUUUUCGACAAAAAAUCCCACUAUGUAGCAGAUACAUCACAUCAUCUAUAUCUAAUCAAUCAUAUUUUUUUUUAAGAACAAAAACAUAAUAAACUUUUUUCUGUAAUCAUAAUAGAACAGAUGAAUUCCAAAAAAGUAAUUUGAUUGAUCAUAAACACCGCAUCACCAAUGUGACUAUUAUAUUUUUCAUAUUUUCAAUCCCUGACGACUACGUUUGUUUAAAAAAAGUAGGGAAAACUUCAAAAACCCCCCCUGUGGUUUCGUGCAUUCUCACUUUGCUACCCUGUGGUUUAAAACGUAUCAAUUUACCCCCCUGUGGUUUCAUUUUUAUCUUUUCAGAAGCUUUUUCGUUAAUAUUUCGUUAAAUUAUAUAUAAAAAACUUCAGAUAACCAUCUAUAUUUAUCAAAUAGUCACUUUAGUAUCCUUUAAUUUUAACUUUGUCACUGAUUUUAAAAAAAAAUAAUAAUAAAAUUGAUAACAAAAAGAUAAAAACGAAACCACAGGGGGGAAAAUUGAUACGUUUUAAACCACAGGGUAGCAAAGUGAGAAUGCACAAAACCACAGGGGAGGUUUUUGAAGUUUUCCCAAAAAAGUACUAAAAUAAAAAAAUAAAUAAAUGAAUAAUUUUUACAAAAGACAAGGGUUUUGAAACCAUCGAUGAAGUGUUAAUAUAUAUUUUUACACCAGCUUUUACUAUAAUAAUUUUUUGAAUAAUAUAGUAUCAGUAAUAUUUUAAUUAUAAAUUAUGAGCACAAUUACAUAAUAUUAUAAUUAUAAAUUAUGUAAUGGGUUGCUGAUCACCUUGACCGGCCCAGCUGUAUUAUUUUUGAUUUUAUUCUUAAUCUAAUGUAAAGUUCAAAUUAGUGGUUGUCACCCACUUGUGAUGUAUAUAUAUUUUAAUUAAUUAUACGUUAUUUUUUGUUCACCCUCAACGUGCAAUACAAGAGGAAAUGGACACGAUCAUGUGAUCGAUUUCAAAAUGCCCUUGAAUUUUUAAUUAAAAAAUCUUAAAUUAUAUAUAUAUAUUUUUGGGAGACGAAAACAUGACUGAGAUCUAAUACAAGUCCAAGUUUCUUUGUCGCCUCUUUAAAAUAUAAAUUGUUUAAAACGCAUUCGAUUAUUUGAUCUUUAAAAAUUUUGAUCGUGCUAAUUUUAGGGGCACAACUUGACUGUGGUGGAAGCGGACGGGCACUAUGUGGACCCGUUUGUGGUUCAGAACCUGUACAUCUACUCGGGCGAGACGUACUCGGUCCUACUGAAAGCCGACCGCGACCCGACCCGCAACUACUGGGCGGCGUCGCACGUGGUGAGCCGCAAGCCGGCGACCCCGCCCGCGACCGCGAUCAUCAACUACUAUCCGAACCCUCCGUUGCGGAGCCCCCGAUCUGCUCUCCCGCCCGGGCCGGCCUGGAACGACACCCGAACCCGGGUCGCCCAGAGCCGGUCCGUCCGGGCCCACCCGGACCACAUCCAACCGGUCCCGCCCAAACCGGACCGGGUCAUAAUCCUCCUCAACACCCAGAACCGGGUCAACGGUCGCAUGCGGUGGGCCCUCAACAACGUCUCGUACGAGCUCCCGCAUACUCCCUACCUCGUCGCGCUAAAGCACGGGCUCCGCCACGUGUACAACCGGGCCCCACCCCCCGACACGUACGACUACAGGGGCUACGACAUACGCGUACCCCAGAAGAACCCCAACGCGACGACGAGCAACGCGAUUUACCGGGUCGGGUUCGGGUCCACGGUGGACGUGGUUCUCCAGAACGCGAACACGUUGACGCCGAACAACAGCGAGACGCACCCGUGGCACCUGCACGGGCACGACUUUUGGGUGUUGGGGUACGGGUCGGGUAAGUAUAACCCGGGCGCGGACCCGGGGUCGUAUAAUUUGAGGGACCCGAUAAUGAAGAACACGGUGGCGCUGCACCCUAUGGGGUGGACCGCACUGAGGUUCCGUGCGGAUAACCCCGGGGUGUGGGCGUUUCACUGCCACAUCGAGUCCCAUUUUUUUAUGGGGAUGGGGAUCGUGUUUGAGGAGGGCGUGGAAAAAGUGGGGCGCCUCCCAGAAGCAAUUCUGGGGUGUGGUGAGUCCAAGAUUUUGAGGAACCCUUAAGUGAGGGCUUUUGAUUUUGAAUUUAAACUUUUGAUUUUGAUUUUGAAUUUGGUUCAAGAUUUUAGGGAAUGUGGCUUGUAAACUUGUGAGCUGUUGCUUACAAAUUUUUCGCCUAUUUAAUUAAUUGAUUGAUGAUAAUUUUGUUGGAUCUUGUGUCUUUUCAACUUGUGAUGUAUUUGAAAAAAAGAAUGUUUUGUAUGCGAAUAAUGACAAUGCUAGUAAAGUUAACUCAAUGUGAAGUGACAAAAGUUCAUAAAGAGAGAGAGAGAGAGAGAGAGAGAGAGAGUACCUGUUUGUUUCCGUGGAAUUCGGAAAUUGAUGUCCUAACUUCAAAUAUCUUGUCAAGGACAAUAUUUGUUCUGAUACCGAAGUUACGAAAUCAUUCGAACUUUUGUUGACAAUUGCAUGAUCUUGACGGAAAAAGAAGUCGAGUUCACAAAACUUACAAAUUUUUCAACUCUACACUGCUUAUUUGAUGCUUGAAGAUCCCAAUUAUUCUCCUCAAACAAAACUUUUGCUCAUCUAUUUAUAGCCAUGCACUUGGUUCUUUGGGCAUUGUACUACAAAAAUGUACUACAAAUUAAAGCCCUCAUAAAAU